Molecule: long non-coding RNA, 857 nt
Filed under: Crocodylus porosus (Australian saltwater crocodile)
Lineage: Eukaryota; Metazoa; Chordata; Crocodylia; Crocodylidae
Description: lncRNA (ENSCPRG00005008818.1)
Source: RNAcentral
ACCUGCUCAUGUUUUGGAGUUAUAAAUAGGUAGGUAGUUCCUCCACUAAGGCCACAUCCACACAUGCAGGGAAAAAGAAUAGCUAGCCGGAGAUGUGAAGAUGGCUACAUGAAGCCAAGGCAGUUCAACGGAAGCACUCUCAUAAGUCCUAUCUCCUGCUUUGGAAAUAUUCAUAAAGCAGGAAUUCUAUAAGCCAAAGCGUUGUGGUGGUGAUGAUGCUGUGUGUUGAUAUCACUUGAUGGAAUCUCGAUUUCAAAUGUGGUUAGUCCAUUCCAUUUAGCCAUGAGUUUCCAAGAUGACCAUUUCACUUCUGACUUUGGUUUGAUUCUGCUUUCACACUUGCUGGUUUGUCUAGCUGUAAUCAAUCCCCUUCCGCAACUCCCAGCUCUUUCUUAACCCCAUUUCUUGUUUCAGAAGAUGCACAAAAAGAUGCAAUACAUUUGUUCAUCCAGUGCCUCCUCAUUUCAUAUCUCAGAGUUAGGGGACAUGCUUAUAUAUGUGACAAAAGCUUCCUUACUGUUGUAAGAGACUGAAUAUUUGAAAUGCUUGGAGCAGUACAGUAUUGAUGAAAACAGCUGCAUGUAGAACGCCUAUUCUAAGCUAAGGACUCCUAAGAAGAUUUAAAACCAGGAAAUUAUACCAUUUUCCCUUCCUUUUGGAUGUGUAAAGUGCAAUAAUUUUAAGUCUAAGUUUUCUCAUACCAUAUACCUGAGCAGGACGUAUGCCAAGAGUUUCACUCCGUACAAGGUGACUCAAAGAAUCUGAGACUAUUUGAUUAGGGAUCCCUGAGCUUUGAACAUUCCCUAAUUUCCACAAUUUUUUUCUUGAAUAAAUGCUUUUUUUUUUACUUUGUAACA